CCUCCGGGGGGCAGCAGUGGGGGAUAUUGCCCAAUGGGGAAAACCCUGAUGCCGCGCCUCCUCUUUCUUGCCUCCUUCUUUCGGUAUGUAAAGCUCUAUCGGCAGGGAAGAAAAAAAUGACAGUACCUGACUAAGAAGCCCCGGCUAACUACGUGCCAGCAGCCGCGGUAAUACGUAGGGGGCAAGCGUUAUCCGGAUUUACUGGGUGUAAAGGGAGCGUAGACGGAGGAGCAAGUCUGAUGUGAAAAUCCGGGGCCCAACCCCGGAACU
This 270-nucleotide ribosomal RNA is filed under the name uncultured bacterium. RNAcentral's name for it is "partial 16S ribosomal RNA". It matches the Rfam family "Bacterial small subunit ribosomal RNA", at positions 338 to 622 of the family's 1533-position model. The record is from RNAcentral.